RNAcentral lists this ribosomal RNA (468 nucleotides) under uncultured bacterium. Its description in RNAcentral is "partial 16S ribosomal RNA". It matches the Rfam family "Bacterial small subunit ribosomal RNA", at positions 28 to 507 of the family's 1533-position model. The record is from RNAcentral.
GACGAACGCUGGCGGCGCGCCUAACACAUGCAAGUCGAACGGAGUCAAGAGGAGCUUGCUUUUCUUGACUUAGUGGCGAACGGGUGAGUAACGCGUGAGUAACCUGCCCUGGAGUGGGGGACAACAGUUGGAAACGACUGCUAAUACCGCAUAAGCCCACGGAUCCGCAUGGAUCUGCGGGAAAAGGAUUUAUUCGCUUCAGGAUGGACUCGCGUCCAAUUAGCUAGUUGGUGAGGUAACGGCCCACCAAGGCGACGAGUGGUAGCCGGACUGAGAGGUUGAACGGCCACAUUGGGACUGGGACACGGCCCAGACUCCUACGGGAGGCAGCAGUGGGGGAUAUUGCACAAUGGGGGAAACCCUGAUGCAGCGACGCCGCGUGGAGGAAGAAGGUUUUCGGAUUGUAAACUCCUGUCGUUAGGGACGAUAAUGACGGUACCUAACAAGAAAGCACCGGCUAACUACGUG